UAAAAAUAAAAUAGAUUUUACUAUUUAAUAAUUUAACCAUAAAAAAAUCAAUUUUAUUUAUAGUAUAGUUUUUGAACUAAAAAAUUCUUCUAUAAAAGUAGUACUGUGAAGGAAUUUUUGUUUUUAAAUAUAAGUACCUAUAUUUAGGGUACCUUUUGUAUCAGGGGUUAUUAAAUUCUAAAAACAAUGUUUUUGUUUCUCGAAAUUUUAAGAUAAAAAACAUAAUUAAAUUUGGUGUUGUAAUACCAUUAUAAAUUAUGUUUUAGUAGAUAUAUUCUAUUCAAUUAAUAAUAUCUAGUUUUUGAAUAAAUGGGUUUAAUCCAUGAUUAAUAUAUAAUAAAAAUAAAUAUUUAUUAAUCUUAACCUAAUCAGGAUAAGCUGAUUAGGUAUUUUAUAAAAAAAAUAAUUUAGGAAAAAAAGUAGGUUUAAAAAUAUCCAUCAUUUAUUUUUUAAAAAUUAUUUAUCUCAAAUAAUUGAUUUUGUACAAUUUUAAGUGACUAUUUAAAUUAUAGGCAUAAUUUAUAUGCUAUUUAAUAAUGAUAACAUUAGUAUUUUAUACAAAUAAAAAUUAGUAAUUCGGCAUAUAUAAUUUUCACCUGUUUAACAAAAACAUGGUUUUUUGUUUAUAUAAAAGAUCUGGCCUGCCCCAUGAUAUAAUUAAAUGGCUGCAGUAUUUUGACUGUACAAAGGUAGCAUAAUCAUUUGUUUCUUAAUUGGAGACUGGUAUGAAUGGUUGGAUGAAAAAUUAACUUUCUUAUUUUUAUAAAAUGAAAUUAAUUUUUGUGUUAAAAAGCACAAAUGAUUGCGAAGGACGAGAAGACCCUAUAGAAUUUUAUUUAUUUAUUUGUACCUUUUUUGUGGUUUAUUGAAAAAGGUAUCUUUAAAAAAAUUAUGUUGGGGUGACAGAAAAAAUAUCAUAACUUUUUUUUAAUAUAUCAUAUAUGCAUGAAAAUAUGACCCUGUAUUAUGGGUUAUAAGAUUAAAUUACCUUAGGGAUAACAGCGUUAUUUUUUUGGAGAGUACUUAUCGAUAAAAAAGUUUGCGACCUCGAUGUUGGAUUAAAAUAAGAAGCAGGGGUAGAAUAUUGCUUUUCUAGGUCUGUUCGACCUAUAAAUUUUUACAUGAUCUGAGUUCAGACCGGCGUGAGCCAGGUUGGUUUCUAUCCUCUAUUAUUUUAAAAACUUUAGUACGAAAGGACCAAGUUUUUGGAAAAUUUUUUUAUUUGGAUUAUAUU
RNAcentral lists this ribosomal RNA (1234 nucleotides) under Mystilus priamus. Its description in RNAcentral is "16S ribosomal RNA". The stretch from base 807 to 1167 matches the Rfam family "Archaeal large subunit ribosomal RNA", at positions 2152 to 2714 of the family's 2987-position model. Lineage: Eukaryota; Metazoa; Arthropoda; Insecta; Hemiptera; Miridae. The record is from RNAcentral.